AAUUGGAAUUCGAAUAGUGAAUAGUAUUAAGAUUCUUUUCAUGAAUCGUUAUUCUCUGUCAAAUUGGAGAUAAAUAAAAUCAAGUAGAGACAGAGGAAGAGGUCCUCGAGUCUCGAACAAAGACGCAUUCUCUCUUCUACUUUGUAUAAAUACAUUUUAAAAACCAUACUGGUUAUUAAAAUACUGAGAUAACUAAUUACAAGUUUUAACCCUACAUUACAUUACAUAAUCUUUCUUUCUCUUUCCAUCAAAAUUUGUUGAUGGAAGAGGGAACUGGUUUUCCUCUAGGGAAGCCAAAUGGAAAAUACGGCGGAGGAGUUGAGCGAGUGCCGUCAAGGUUGAAGUCGGAGCUGAGAUUCUCUGGCGGGGAUAGUAGUAGUCAUCAAGAAUACAACUCGGAGGUGGAAGCGCCUUCAGCGGCUAUAAACGGUGUAGCAUCGACGAGUAUGAGUUUUGGAAAUAAUCUUAACAACUGGGAUAACUCAUCUUCUCAAAUAAGUUUCACCAUUGAUGAACCCGGAAAACGGUCCAAGACCACCGACUUUUUCACCUUAGAAACUCAGUUUAGCAUGCCACAAACGUCACUGGAGAGUUUGAUAAACAUCCCAGAGGAUUCGGUGCCUUGGAAGGUCAGGGCCAAGCGUGGAUGUGCUACUCACCCGCGCAGCAUCGCUGAAAGGGAGAGAAGAACGAGAAUAAGUGGGAAGCUGAAGAAGCUACAAGAACUUGUGCCCAAUAUGGACAAGCAAACGAGCUAUGCAGACAUGUUGGAUUUAGCUGUUGAGCAUAUCAAAGGUCUUCAACACCAUAUAGAGAGUAUUAGAUCUCUUCGCGAGACUAAGCCACGAAGGAGCUUGUGUCGGAGUUGCAGUGACGAUAACUCCAAAUCUCGUCCCCAAUGUCUGCCACACCGGCGAAUAUGAAGUCUCUCCAUGGUCUCACACGUGGUCCCCUCGGAGGCGUGCGGCGGAGGAGGAGCUUCGGAGGCGGCGAAGAAUCAGAAACCAAUUGCAGCGGUGGAGGCAAAAUCGAACAGGCAGAGAGAGAUUCCGGCGGAGUCUCCCGGAUUAGGCUACGGCGGCGUUGUUGAGGUGAAGACCAAGAAUCGCAGGCUCUGGGCGGCUCUGUCUCGCGACGAGAUCGAGGAAGACGUGUUCAGCACGAGUGGGAACAGGCCGUCUCAGUCGACCGCGAAAGAGGACGAAGACCUUGCAGAAAUAUCUCGAUGUUAUCUUUCCUGGGUUGUGUCUUGUGAGGAUGAAUGCUGAUUGCUUCAGGGUAUCCACUUCUCGCGCUAAGAUAUUUUUAACAAUUUGACCACAAAUACACAAACUGGGACCAGAUGUGGAGAGAAAGCCAAGGAGCGAGAAGCAUUUUACUUUGAGGAAUUCAGGAAAUAGAGUUAGUAUAAGACUUGACUAAGAGUUAUGGUGAUAGUAUAACACAUGUUUGAUGUUAGGGUAAGACUUGGAAAUUCUAUGUAAAAUGUAUGUUUGAUGAAUUUAAUGCAAUAUAUAAUAUGUAUAUUUUAGUUGUAAAUCAGUUUGCAGUUUAUAAUU
RNA transcript from Raphanus sativus (radish), 1559 nucleotides. It is a transcript of the gene named transcription factor bHLH129-like, with no coding region annotated. The record is from RefSeq and is a predicted model, not a curated record. The transcript is spliced from 7 exons. NCBI's taxonomy places the organism in Eukaryota, Viridiplantae, Streptophyta, Magnoliopsida, Brassicales, Brassicaceae.